This 494-nucleotide ribosomal RNA is filed under the name uncultured bacterium. RNAcentral's name for it is "bacterial SSU rRNA". It matches the Rfam family "Bacterial small subunit ribosomal RNA", at positions 28 to 517 of the family's 1533-position model. The record is from RNAcentral.
GAUGAACGCUAGCGGCAGGCUUAAUACAUGCAAGUCGUGGGGCAGCACAGGGUAGCAAUACUUGGGUGGCGACCGGCAAACGGGUGCGGAACACGUACGCAACCUUCCUUCAGGCGGGGAAUAGCCCAGAGAAAUUUGGAUUAAUACCCCAUAAGAUUUUGAGAUGGCAUCAUCUUAUUAUUAAAGAUUUAUCACCUGAAGAUGGGCGUGCGGCUGAUUAGGUAGUUGGCGGGGUAACGGCCCACCAAGCCUACGAUCAGUAGCUGAUGUGAGAGCAUGAUCAGCCACACGGGCACUGAGACACGGGCCCGACUCCUACGGGAGGCAGCAGUAAGGAAUAUUGGUCAAUGGACGCAAGUCUGAACCAGCCAUGCCGCGUGGAGGAUGAAGGUCCUCUGGAUUGUAAACUUUUUUAUCUGGGACGAAAAAGGGUUUUCUAACUCGUCUGACGGUACCAGAUGAAUAAGCACCGGCUAACUCCGUGCCAGCAGCCG